GGGGGGGGGGGGGGGGGGGGGGGGGGGGGGGGGGGGGGGCGGGGGGGGCGGGCGGGGGGGGGGGGGUCGGGGGGCGGCCGGGUGCGUGCCCCGUGCGUGCCCGGCCCUUGCCUUUGGGGUAACUUCGUGGACCUGGGGCUCCUCCCGGAUCUGCGCUCCUGCUGCCUGGUUGGGGUUGUCACCUUUCGGCGGUUGGGGCUGGACUCGCGGCUUCUCAGCUUGUUGGUGGGGUAGUGGCUUACCCAGGCUUUGACGGGUAGCCGGACUGAGAGGGUGACCGGCCACAUUGGGACUGAGAUACGGCCCAGACUCCUAAGGGAGGCAGCAGUGGGGAAUAUUGCACAAUGGGCGGAAGCCUGAUGCAGCAACGCCGCGUGCGGGAUGACGGCCUUCGGGUUGUAAACCGCUUUCGCCUGUGACGAAGCGUGAGUGACGGUAAUGGGUAAAGAAGCACCGGCUAACUACGUG
Molecule: ribosomal RNA, 468 nt
Filed under: uncultured bacterium
Lineage: Bacteria
Description: partial 16S ribosomal RNA
Rfam family: Bacterial small subunit ribosomal RNA
Source: RNAcentral